RNAcentral lists this ribosomal RNA (1510 nucleotides) under uncultured bacterium. Its description in RNAcentral is "16S ribosomal RNA". It matches the Rfam family "Bacterial small subunit ribosomal RNA". The record is from RNAcentral.
CUGGCUCAGGAUGAACGCUGGCGGCGUGCCUAAUACAUGCAAGUCGAACGAAGAUCUUAGGGAAUAAGCUUGCUUAGGAAUUUUGAUCUUAGUGGCGGACUGGUGAGUAACACGUGAGCAACCUGGCUUUCAGAGGGGGACAACGGUUGGAAACGACCGCUAAUACCGCAUGACAUAGUUUUAAGGCAUCUUGAAACUAUUAAAGGAGCAAUCCGCUGAAAGAUGGGCUCGCGUCUGAUUAGAUAGUUGGUGAGGUAACGGCUCACCAAGUCGACGAUCAGUAGCCGGACUGAGAGGUUGAACGGCCACAUUGGGACUGAGAUACGGCCCAGACUCCUACGGGAGGCAGCAGUAGGGAAUAUUGCACAAUGGAGGAAACUCUGAUGCAGCAACGCCGCGUGAAGGAAGACGGUUUUCGGAUUGUAAACUUCUUUUCCCAAAGAAGAAAAAAAUGACGGUAUUUGGGGAAUAAGCAUCGGCUAACUACGUGCCAGCAGCCGCGGUAAUACGUAGGAUGCAAGCGUUAUCCGGAUUUACUGGGUGUAAAGGGUGCGUAGGCGGACUUUCAAGUUGGAUGUGAAAACCCGGGGCUUAACCCCGUGAUUGCAUCCAAAACUGUAGGUCUUGAUUGGAGUAGAGGUAAGUGGAAUUCCGAGUGUAGCGGUGAAAUGCGCAGAUAUUCGGAAGAACACCGGUGGCGAAGGCGACUUACUGGGCUUUAAAUGACGCUGAGGCACGAAAGUGUGGGGAGCAAACAGGAUUAGAUACCUGGUAGUCCACACUGUAAACGAUGAUAGCUAGGUGUAGGGGGUCUGACCCCCUCUGUGCCGGAGUUAACGCAAUAAGCUAUCCACCUGGGGAGUACGAUCGCAAGAUUGAAACUCAAAGGAAUUGACGGGGACCCGCACAAGCAGUGGAUUAUGUGGUUUAAUUCGAAGCAACGCGAAGAACCUUACCGAGUCUUGACAUUUAACUAACGAAGCAGAGAUGCAUUAGGUGCCCUUCGGGGAAAGUUAAAACAGGUGGUGCAUGGUUGUCGUCAGCUCGUGCCGUGAGGUGUUGGCUUAAGUGCCGCAACGAGCGCAACCCCUGCCAUUAGUUGCUACGCAAGAGCACUCUAAUGGGACCGCCGAUGACAAAUCGGAGGAAGGUGGGGAUGACGUCAAAUCAUCAUGCCCCUUAUGACUCGGGCCACACACGUAAUACAAUGGUCGUUAACAGAGGGAAGCAAGGGAGCGAUCCGGAGCCAAACCCUAAAAACGAUCUCAGUUCGGACUGUAGGCUGAAACUCGCCUGCACGAAGUUGGAAUUGCUAGUAAUCGCGGAUCAGCAUGCCGCGGUGAAUACGUUCCCGGGUCUUGUACACACCGCCCGUCACACCAUGGGAGUUUGUAACACCCGAAGUCGGUGACCCAACAGUAAUGAGGGAGCCGCCGAAGGUGGGAUAAGCGACUGGGGUGAAGUCGUAACAAGGCAGCCGUAGGAGAACCUGCGGUUGGAUCACCUCCUU